Molecule: ribosomal RNA, 244 nt
Filed under: uncultured bacterium
Lineage: Bacteria
Description: partial 16S ribosomal RNA
Rfam family: Bacterial small subunit ribosomal RNA
Source: RNAcentral
AGCGCCUACGGGACGCAGCAGUAGGGAAUCUUCCACAAUGGACGAAAGUCUGAUGGAGCAACGCCGCGUGAGUGAAGAAGGGUUUCGGCUCGUAAAGCUCUGUUGGUAGUGAAGAAAGAUAGAGGUAGUAACUUGCCUUUAUUUGACGGUAAUUACUUAGAAAGUCACGGCUAACUACGUUCCAGCAGCCGCGGUAAUACGUAGGUGGCAAGCGUUUUCCGGAUUUAUUUGGCGUAAAGCGAGU